GACGAACGCUGGCGGCGUGCUUAACACAUGCAAGUCGAACGGAAAGGCCCUGCUUUUGUGGGAUGCUCGAGUGGAGAACGGGUGAGUAACACGUGAGUAACCUGCCCUUGACUUUGGGAUAACUUCAGGAAACUGGGGCUAAUACCGGAUAGGAGCUCCUGCUGCAUGGUGGGGGUUGGAAAGUUUCGGCGGUUGGGGAUGGACUCGCGGCUUAUCAGCUUGUUGGUGGGGUAGUGGCUUACCAAGGCUUUGACGGGUAGCCGGACUGAGAGGGUGACCGGCCACAUUGGGACUGGGAUACGGCCCAGACUCCUACGGGAGGCAGCAGUGGGGAAUAUUGCACAAUGGGCGGAAGCCUGAUGCAGCAACGCCGCGUGCUGGAUGUCGGCCUUCGGGUUGUAAACCGCUUUCGCCUGUGACGAAGCGUGAGUGACGGUAAUGAGUAAAGAAGCACCGGCUAACUACGUG
This 468-nucleotide ribosomal RNA is filed under the name uncultured bacterium. Its description in RNAcentral is "partial 16S ribosomal RNA". It matches the Rfam family "Bacterial small subunit ribosomal RNA", at positions 28 to 507 of the family's 1533-position model. The record is from RNAcentral.